This 253-nucleotide ribosomal RNA is filed under the name uncultured bacterium. Its description in RNAcentral is "partial 16S ribosomal RNA". It matches the Rfam family "Bacterial small subunit ribosomal RNA", at positions 524 to 776 of the family's 1533-position model. The record is from RNAcentral.
GACAGAGGCCCCAAGCGUUAGGCGGAAUCACUGGGCUUAAAGCGUGUGUAGGCGGACGCCUAAGUGUCUUGUGAAAUCCCACGGCUCACCCGUGGAACUGCUGGGCAUACUGGGCAUCUUGGGCCAACUAGGGGCAGCCGGAACAAGCGGUGGAGCGGUGAAAUGCGUAGAUAUCGCUUGGAACGCCGAAGGUGAAAACAGGCUGCUGGGGUUGCGCCGACGCUGAGACACGAAAGCCAGGGGAGCAAACGGG